CUUUCCUCCUCUUUAAAGUGCCCAUGUUAUGCCCAUUUUCAGGUUCAUAAUUGUGUUUUAAGGUUGUACCAGAAGAGAAAGGGUUUCAUUUUC
Etheostoma spectabile (orangethroat darter) is the source of this 93-nucleotide long non-coding RNA. RefSeq lists it as uncharacterized. NCBI's taxonomy places the organism in Eukaryota, Metazoa, Chordata, Actinopteri, Perciformes, Percidae. The record is from RefSeq and is a predicted model, not a curated record. The transcript is spliced from 2 exons.